GCCGGAGUGGCGGAAUUGGCAGACGCGCACGACUCAAAAUCGUGUUCCGUAAGGAGUGUGGGUUCAAUUCCCACCUUCGGCACCU
RNAcentral lists this transfer RNA (85 nucleotides) under bacterium. Its description in RNAcentral is "tRNA-Leu". It matches the Rfam family "tRNA". From Rfam's summary of the family: Transfer RNA (tRNA) molecules are approximately 80 nucleotides in length. Their secondary structure includes four short double-helical elements and three loops (D, anti-codon, and T loops). Further hydrogen bonds mediate the characteristic L-shaped molecular structure. tRNAs have two regions of fundamental functional importance: the anti-codon, which is responsible for specific mRNA codon recognition, and the 3' end, to which the tRNAs corresponding amino acid is attached (by aminoacyl-tRNA synthetases). tRNAs cope with the degeneracy of the genetic code in two manners: having more than one tRNA (with a specific anti-codon) for a particular amino acid; and 'wobble' base-pairing, i.e. permitting non-standard base-pairing at the 3rd anti-codon position. RNAcentral also lists the same sequence under 4 other names. The record is from RNAcentral.